AGAGUUUGAUCGUGGCUCAGAAUCAACGCUGGCGGCGUGCCUCAGACAUGCAAGUCGAACGAUUAAACUUCUCUUCGGAGAAGAUAUAAAGUGGCGCACGGGUGAGUAACACGUAGGUAAUGUACCUUUGGGUGGGGAAUAACUUAGGGAAACUUAAGCUAAUACCGCAUAAUGCAGCGGCUUCUUCGGAAGACAGUUGUUAAAGAUUUAUCGCCUAAAGAGCAGCCUGCGGCAGAUUAGCUAGUUGGUAAGGUAACGGCUUACCAAGGCUACGAUCUGUAUCCGACCUGAGAGGGUGGUCGGACACACUGACACUGAAUAACGGGUCAGACUCCUACGGGAGGCAGCAGUCGGGAAUUUUGGGCAAUGGGCGAAAGCCUGACCCAGCAACGCCGCGUGAAGGAUGAAGUCUUUCGGGAUGUAAACUUCGUAAGAAUAGGAAGAAUAAAUGACGGUACUAUUUGUAAGGUCCGGCUAACUACGUGCCAGCAGCCGCGGUAAUACGUAGGGACCAAGCGUUGUUCGGAUUUACUGGGCGUAAAGGGCGCGUAGGCGGCGUGUCAAGUCAAUUGUGAAAUCUCCGAGCUUAACUCGGAACGGUCAAUUGAUACUGAUGUGCUAGAGUGCAGAAGGGGCAAUCGGAAUUCUUGGUGUAGCGGUGAAAUGCGUAGAUAUCAAGAGGAACACCUGAGGUGAAGACGGGUUGCUGGGCUGACACUGACGCUGAGGCGCGAAAGCUAGGGUAGCAAACGGGAUUAGAUACCCCGGUAGUCCUAGCCCUAAACGAUGAAUACUUGGUGUCUGGAGUUUUAAUUCUCCGGGUGCCGUCGCUAACGUUUUUAGUAUUCCGCCUGGGGAGUACGCACGCAAGUGUGAAACUCAAAGGAAUUGACGGGGACCCGCACAAGCGGUGGAGCAUGUGGUUUAAUUCGACGCAACGCGAAGAACCUUACCUGAACUAGAAUGCGAGGGAAGAUUACCUAAUAGU
Molecule: ribosomal RNA, 988 nt
Filed under: uncultured bacterium
Lineage: Bacteria
Description: bacterial SSU rRNA
Rfam family: Bacterial small subunit ribosomal RNA
Source: RNAcentral